Molecule: long non-coding RNA, 214 nt
Filed under: Dromaius novaehollandiae (emu)
Lineage: Eukaryota; Metazoa; Chordata; Aves; Casuariiformes; Dromaiidae
Description: lncRNA (ENSDNVG00000008366.1)
Source: RNAcentral
CCCAGCCACACUGAAAACAUGGACAAACUUGGAAUCAAAAGCUGCAGGAYAGGACAAUCCAUCUCAGGAACUCCUGAAAAGCAGCAGCUUUAGAUUCAGAGAGGAUUUUUCUACCUUACUACAGCUUUGUCCUAGAGUCACAGAAUUCUAACCACUUUUCUACAAUAAGAAAAUGGUGAGACAUUUCUCAAAUUUCUGAAUAUCGACCAAUUAA